GUGAGGAAUAUUGCACAAUGGGCGAAAGCCUGAUGCAGCAACGCCGCGUGAGUGAUGAAGGCCUUUGGGUCGUAAAACUCUGUCCUUGGGGAAGAAAAAAAUGACGGUACCCUUGGAGGAAGCCCCGGCUAACUACGUGCCAGCAGCCGCGGUAAUACGUAGGGGGCAAGCGUUAUCCGGAAUUAUUGGGCGUAAAGAGUGCGUAGGUGGUUUUGUAAGCGUAGGGUGAAAGGCAGUAGCUCAACUAUUGUUAGCCCUGCGAACUGUGAGACUUGAGUGCAGGAGAGGAAAGUGGAAUUCCUAGUGUAGCGGUGAAAUGCGUAGAUAUUAGGAGGAACACCAGUGGCGAAGGCGGCCACCUGGACCGGUAUUGACGCUGAGGUGCGAAAGCGUGGGGAGCAAACAGGAUUAGAUACCCCAGUAGUCC
RNAcentral lists this ribosomal RNA (427 nucleotides) under uncultured bacterium. RNAcentral's name for it is "partial 16S ribosomal RNA". It matches the Rfam family "Bacterial small subunit ribosomal RNA", at positions 354 to 796 of the family's 1533-position model. The record is from RNAcentral.